GUGAUGGCGUGCCUUUUGUAGAAUGAACCGGCGAGUUACGAUCUGAUGCAAGGUUAAGCAGCAAAUGUGGAGCCGCAGCGAAAGCGAGUCUGAAUAGGGCGUUGAGUAUUUGGUCGUAGACCCGAAACCAGGUGAUCUACCCUUGGUCAGGUUGAAGUUCAGGUAACACUGAAUGGAGGACCGAACCGACUUACGUUGAAAAGUGAGCGGAUGAACUGAGGGUAGCGGAGAAAUUCCAAUCGAACUUGGAGAUAGCUGGUUCUCUCCGAAAUAGCUUUAGGGCUAGCCUCAAGUGAUGAUUAUUGGAGGUAGAGCACUGUUUGGACGAGGGGCCCUCUCGGGUUACCGAAUUCAGACAAACUCCGAAUGCCAAUUAAUUUAACUUGGGAGUCAGAACAUGGGUGAUAAGGUCCGUGUUCGAAAGGGAAACAGCCCAGACCACCAGCUAAGGUCCCAAAAUAUAUGUUAAGUGGAAAAGGAUGUGGCGUUGCCCAGACAACUAGGAUGUUGGCUUAGAAGCAGCCAUCAUUUAAAGAGUGCGUAAUAGCUCACUAGUCGAGUGACACUGCGCCGAAAAUGUACCGGGGCUAAACAUAUUACCGAAGCUGUGGAUUGUCCUUUGGACAAUGGUAGGAGAGCGUUCUAAGGGCGUCGAAGCAUGAUCGCAAGGACAUGUGGAGCGCUUAGAAGUGAGAAUGCCGGUGUGAGUAGCGAAAGACGGGUGAGAA
This 728-nucleotide ribosomal RNA is filed under the name Staphylococcus epidermidis. RNAcentral's name for it is "partial 23S ribosomal RNA". It matches the Rfam family "Bacterial large subunit ribosomal RNA", at positions 593 to 1327 of the family's 2925-position model. The record is from RNAcentral. Lineage: Bacteria; Bacillati; Bacillota; Bacilli; Caryophanales; Staphylococcaceae.